This 619-nucleotide long non-coding RNA is filed under the name Linum usitatissimum (flax). RNAcentral describes it as "long non-coding RNA (LUSI_LNC006939)". The record is from RNAcentral. Lineage: Eukaryota; Viridiplantae; Streptophyta; Magnoliopsida; Malpighiales; Linaceae.
UAAGACAGAUGGCAAUGAGCCUGCAUACACAUUCACUCGCUAUAAGACUCACUUACAACAAUUGGAGAGACUACCAAGACUGAAUGCUUAGAAGAAGGGAAGAAAAGAUUCCAAGAACUACAGUAAGAAGGAAAUAGAAAGAUAGGGGAGUUUAUAUUCCCUCUCUUUAGAUGGCAUAAGGGGAUUCUCUCUAACAAUAACAACCUUUUCUUGUUCACGUGCACCCUUGCUUGAAGCUCUGUCUCCCCCACUUCCGGGAUAGGACUAGGACUUUGAAAGCUUCAGUCAACUUAACGUGCGAAAAGAGCUUCUUCUUCCUAUUCGAGGUUUUCUUAGUUCUUCCGGGAAUAGGAAAGGUGAGAAGAUUGGAGAAUCAUAUUCUAUUCCUAAGUGACAUAGAAAUCCUACCAUUCGAGCCACUUUAUCGCCUUUUCUAAUAGAAUCAGGGGGAUUGAAGACCAUUGUUGUACUAAUCUUCUCUUUUUUUAAAUGUCGGAUUUCGAUUCCUAAGAUCAGACCGGUAAUUCCUUUAGGCCUAGGCCAAUCACUACCUUUUUCAUGUGCACAUGUCUACUUCUAUCCAUCCAUGCCAUUCCCCUAAGAGUGGUUAUCCUAUCUC